UUUUCCUGCUGUGUGAUAUUUAUUGUCUUACAGCCUGUAUCUGCAGUCCUGCAGCACAGAGAAAAGAAAUCCUGACCACGUUAAACUCUGACAAUUUCACUUUUGCUAUGGGAACAUGAUGGGCUAUUUUCUGUUUCCUCAGAAGCUUGUUGGAAUUUACCUUGGAAUUCAUGUGAGAGCUUCAGGCUCAAACUUAGUAAUGAAGACAAUUUCUGCCCUGAGAAACUGGAUGUUGACUUGAUCAAACUUAAUGAUGGAAAACACCUGAGACUAAUGAGCCCUGAACGAAAACUUCUGUGUCCUCCAGCUGUGGGUUCUGCCAAGUUGUGACCAAGGGUAAUCUGGAUUUCUUUGGGUCAAAGAUAAGGAUAAAUACCAAAGGACCAAGACAUGCACUGGAUGUUUGUUCUUCACCUGCUGUGUGUGCCUGUAUGUGCCUUCAGGACUCGCAGAGCUGAGGAUGGACAUGUAAUGAUGCCUUAUGAAACAAGUUUAAAGCAUUCUAGUAUGAGAUCUACCUCAUUUAAUUUUUCCUUGCAUCUCCUUUGGCUGUCCUCUGAAUUCUCUUCUCUUUGAGAUCUGUCCAUCUCUGAGUGCAGUGGGUACAACUGGACCCUGUCUCCCAGCUGAAGACUCCCUAGUGAAGACAGAGAAGAAAAAAUUACUUCCCUGACAUAGAGAUGACACUGGGGCCAAAGCCAGGCCCACUUAGGGUGCUCUGUUUGCAGCCAUGCCUUUGGCUCCUGAUAAUUCCAUGAUCACUGCCAUCCUCCCAGCACA
This is a long non-coding RNA of Neopelma chrysocephalum (saffron-crested tyrant-manakin), 780 nucleotides long. RefSeq lists it as uncharacterized. The record is from RefSeq and is a predicted model, not a curated record. NCBI's taxonomy places the organism in Eukaryota, Metazoa, Chordata, Aves, Passeriformes, Pipridae. The transcript has 4 exons.